Labeo rohita (rohu) is the source of this 372-nucleotide long non-coding RNA. RefSeq lists it as uncharacterized. The record is from RefSeq and is a predicted model, not a curated record. The transcript has 3 exons. Lineage: Eukaryota; Metazoa; Chordata; Actinopteri; Cypriniformes; Cyprinidae.
GACACAGAGAAUGUGUCUAUUGUUCUCAUUAUGCAUGUACUAUAUGUGUUCAUAGGUGCAUGUAUGUGCAGUGGCAUGUGCGUCCAGCCCAUCCUCGAUUAACACAAAACAUUACUUAGAUACAGUAUAUAGUCAUGUGAUCUGGGGACAAUUUAUAUAUCAUCGGGGUUCAGUUUCAAGAGCAAACAGCCUUCGGAAACUGGUGAGUAACUCAUCUUGACCAACCUCAAGACAGGUCUUAAUCCAAGCAUGUCAUACAGAGAGGACGGUGAGCAUGAGGAGCAAGAGGGUAAGUUUUCAUCUGUUUUGCUCUUCUGUCAAUAACAAAUCUGCAUUGGGUUAGAUCUCAAAACCAUAGUUUUGUCCAUUAAG